RNAcentral lists this ribosomal RNA (253 nucleotides) under uncultured bacterium. RNAcentral's name for it is "partial 16S ribosomal RNA". It matches the Rfam family "Bacterial small subunit ribosomal RNA", at positions 524 to 776 of the family's 1533-position model. The record is from RNAcentral.
UACGUAGGUGGCAAGCGUUGUCCGGAUUUAUUGGGCGUAAAGCGCGCGCAGGCGGUCCUUUAAGUCUGAUGUGAAAUCUUGCGGCUCAACCGCAAGCGGUCAUUGGAAACUGGGGGACUUGAGUACAGAAGAGGAAAGUGGAAUUCCACGUGUAGCGGUGAAAUGCGUAGAGAUGUGGAGGAACACCAGUGGCGAAGGCGGCUCUCUGGGACGUGACUGACGCUGAGACGCGAAAGCGUGGGGAGCGAACAGG